Aethalodelphis obliquidens (Pacific white-sided dolphin) is the source of this 1667-nucleotide long non-coding RNA. RefSeq lists it as uncharacterized. The transcript is spliced from 2 exons. Lineage: Eukaryota; Metazoa; Chordata; Mammalia; Artiodactyla; Delphinidae. The record is from RefSeq and is a predicted model, not a curated record.
CUUAUCUCACCAGGGAGAAAAAAAAAUCCUCAGAGAGAUCCAAACGGGUCCUUAUAUACCUCAGGAGAACUUUCUUUCUCAGAGAGAAAAAGGGAAGGCAAGAGAUUGUAUUAGGAAAGAACAUCCAAGUAAGCAGAAAGGUAGAGAACCUAACUGCUGUUACAAUCCCAGCACCCCUUGCAGGGCGAAUCUCCGAGAAAAGUGCUAUCAUUAACUGGGAGACACAAACGAACACAUUUGUCACCUACACUGGACACAGUGCUACUCAAGCUUUCUUUUCACGCUUUGGACUUAGGGAAACGGAUGCAGUGGUGAAUCACUUCUAUCCCUCCUCAGACGAAUGUGACGAGAAACUUUUCGAUCAAUUUUCACAUUAAAGAUUGUGACUAUGGUGACCAAACUUGCUGCCUGGGCACAUGCAUAUCUCUGAACAGGAAAACGGGUGUGAGGAGUGUUGCAGGGGGCUGGGAAGGGAGGCUGAGCGCUUGUGGCCUCACCCUAAUAAAACUUAAGGGAAAGAGAACAGUAGAUGCGUCAGGGGCCAGGAAAAUGGUUUUGAAAGUUGUAAAGAUCUGCGGCCACAUCUUUCAAGUAAGCAAGUGAGCUGGGCAAAAGGGCAACCCAAAGCCAGCUGACAAGAAGCUACAGGCUCCAGUGGGAAAAGAACCAGCCCUGGAGUCCACAGCCCCACCUCCUGGUCCCUGGUCAUUUAGUAGGUCCAUGCCUAGCGGAGUAAUUUAACCAUCUCAUAACCAAAGUCAUUGGCUUAGAAAUUUCUUUGUGCGAGGAAGGAUAAGAUAGUUUUGCAGUGUUACUUAGAGCAUGGCUUAUUUUUCCGUAAGAAUAAGCCUGACAUGUCAAAGCAUAUCAAAUUGAACAUUUUAAGUGGGGGACAACCUACACCCCGCUGAGAUGAUAAGAGGGGAAGCUGGUAAGUCUAAUAUUUUUGCCAUAAGGAAAGGAGAUGGUUUACAUAAGUGAAUAUUCUAGAUGACUGAAGCUUCCACAUUUAGAGACAUAACUUUUGUUUAAAAUAUGUCUAAAAAUACAUUACCCACUUCACAAUUUUUCUAGCAUCCGUUUUUGCCGUGUAACAUAAUUCAGGGAUGAUUCCAGACUGUCAGGUUGUCUGACCCCCAAACUAAAUGACUCCAGUCUUUACCCCGAGUGACUCUACUUCCUCUGCUGUGUCCUCCCUGUUUGCGAGUUGCAAGUUCUUUGUGUUGCCUUCUAGCAAUAUUUAUCUCCUCGUCAACUCACAGAUCAGAGAAGCAAGCUUGGCCACUUAGUAAGUGCAAAAUGUAAGUAUAAUUCUAGUUCAACAGGCAGUAGUCAGAAAGUGUAACCUGGGUAAACCUAGGGGAGUAAAGUGCAUAGGCUUUGUGACAGCUCUAAUCUGAGGUUAUGUAUCCGACUGGAAAUUCUGUGCUAAUGGAAAGGAACCUUGUAAAAAGCAGAGCUCGGUGGAAUUGAUAAAUAAUUUAUUAUAGCUAGAUCAUCUUCCACUUAGGAUUAUAGGUUUAGAAGGGGAGAUCAUUAAAACUUUUAACUGAAAUGAGAUUUUGAGGUGACUGGUGAAUGAUGAUAGUUUUUUGGGUUACCCCUGAUAAGCCAAUUUGUGAUUCCUUCUUCAACAUUAAACAUUUUAUCCCAGCUGUUCAAAACUA